RNAcentral lists this long non-coding RNA (896 nucleotides) under Gossypium barbadense (sea-island cotton). Its description in RNAcentral is "long non-coding RNA (GBAR_LNC020759)". Lineage: Eukaryota; Viridiplantae; Streptophyta; Magnoliopsida; Malvales; Malvaceae. The record is from RNAcentral.
CCUGGAUUUUGUUAAAUUCACAGACCAAAAAGUCCUACCAUUAUAAGCCGACAGGAAAGGGAAAACAAAUGGAUAAAAGAAAUAGGUAAGAUCAUACAUAUAUGUCAUCUUCUGCGUUAGUGAAGAUAGCAUAAAUCCUAAGCUUCUCUCUUUCAGCCUCUAAGCUGCUUUGUACAUAGAAAGCCGAUCCUUCAGGCAACCUAUAUACAUCUCCUUUCCGAAGGUUCACAUCCCUCAUAUCAUCAUCAUCAGUCCAACUCAAAGUCCCACUCCCUAUACCAAAAUUUUCAGUUCAAAACUGAGAAGCUUACACCAUAAAUUCAUUAAAACAUGCAAGUACCUGUAUGGACGAAAAAAACCAUGUUUGCAUGUAGCAGAACCGGAAGAAAAACGGAGUUAGGCUCCAGGGUGAUGAAUUGAAGAUGGUAUGGGCCUUUUGUUCCAUCAGUGACUAUAGCGGCUGAGAUUUCUCCAUGUUCUGUCUGAGUUAAGAGCUUCCUGUCGUGCUUAAGAACCAACUGACCCACGGUGGAAGCAUGGCGAUGUGAAUAAGAUUCGACACUGAGGAAGGUGGGGGAAGCAAGAAUAAUGCUGAAAACUGCGAAAAAGGAAAAUGGGGAAACCAAGGUUCCCUUCAACCUCAGCAUUGUUUAAAGAGGAUAGAGAUGAGAAUCUAAACACUUGUUCUGAGUGCUGGGUGGGAAGAUGGAAAAAGUUGGCUUAGUCUAUAUAGAAGAAAGUGGGUGAUCGGGGUUAGAUACGUAGUGUUAUGGAUGGACACGUGCAGGGCCAUGCAACAGGUGGCAGGAGCUGAGGACAACUCUUCCCGCUGGAUUACAAAGUUGUUAAGGUCCAACUAGAGAGAGAAAGAGAGAGUGAGAACAUUAUAUUGCAGA